Molecule: ribosomal RNA, 244 nt
Filed under: uncultured bacterium
Lineage: Bacteria
Description: partial 16S ribosomal RNA
Rfam family: Bacterial small subunit ribosomal RNA
Source: RNAcentral
UGGGUAACCUGCCUCAAAGAGGGGAAUAGCCUCCCGAAAGGGAGAUUAAUACCGCAUAAUAUGUUUUAGUCGCAUGACUUAAACAUCAAAGGAUUUUUCUUUUAAGAAAUUCCACUUUGAGAUGGACCCGCGGCGCAUUAGCUAGUUGGUGAGGUAACGGCUCACCAAGGCAACGAUGCGUAGCCGACCUGAGAGGGUGAUCGGCCACAUUGGAACUGAGACACGGUCCAGACUCCGUAGGGAG